CACGUAGGGUGCGAGCGUUGUCCGGAAUUAUUGGGCGUAAAGAGCUCGUAGGCGGUUUGUCGCGUCUGCUGUGAAAUCUGGGGGCUCAACCCCCAGCCUGCAGUGGGUACGGGCAGACUAGAGUGCGGUAGGGGAGAUUGGAAUUCCUGGUGUAGCGGUGGAAUGCGCAGAUAUCAGGAGGAACACCGAUGGCGAAGGCAGAUCUCUGGGCCGUAACUGACGCUGAGGAGCGAAAGCAUGGGGAGCGAACAGG
RNAcentral lists this ribosomal RNA (253 nucleotides) under uncultured bacterium. Its description in RNAcentral is "partial 16S ribosomal RNA". It matches the Rfam family "Bacterial small subunit ribosomal RNA", at positions 524 to 776 of the family's 1533-position model. The record is from RNAcentral.